This 2836-nucleotide long non-coding RNA is filed under the name Capra hircus (goat). RNAcentral describes it as "lncRNA (ENSCHIG00010022151.1)". The record is from RNAcentral. Lineage: Eukaryota; Metazoa; Chordata; Mammalia; Artiodactyla; Bovidae.
AUGCCCUGGAAGACCUACAGGCAAGCAUGUCUUCACCUAAUCCGCCGUUCAAAGGUUCUCCCCUCCCAGCGUUCAAUACUUUGUCCGCCCUUCUCUCUGCCCUCUCUCAGGCAACUCCAGCCGUCUUCAGCACUAUUUCAUUCUCCCCUAAGAAAUUCGUGUUUCCUCUGGGAUAAUUUUCUUCAAUCCGCUUGCUUCAUCAGCCCUCUUAUUAUGAGAUGUCAAAUUUCCCUUGUUAUUACCACCUUUCAGAAGGUUUUACCUAACUCAUUUCCAACCACUCGAUUAUUUCCUGUGAGCGAUCAGCUCUAUGGUCAACACAAACCACUCAAAUCUGUAUCCCAGACCACACUGAGAAAUCUCCCAAUUAACUAUUCAACAGUCAGUUGUCCUCCCACUUUCUUCAGUCUUUUCCUACCUGUUGCAAAGAGAGACUACGAACCAAUGCUGUCAUCUCUUCUAGGGUUAUCUUCUCAAUGGUUCUUUUAUUUAUUCUUGUUUAACAGACAAAGAUCUCUUGAUAGACUUACAUCCCAAAGCCAAUAUCCAAAUACCAGGGUAACAAAAACGUAUCUAAGUGCCUAAACUCAUGGCAGUGAGAGUAACGUGUUUUGACUUCAUCUCCAGAGAAGCAGCUCAGAGAAAUAUUAGUAGAGGCAAACAACACACUGACAGGGUAGCAAGUGCUCAGUGACGGAGACAAAAACCAUCAAGGCAGCUCCCGGGCUCUCCAAGGGGCUCAGAAUCCACUCCACCUCCCCAGGCAGACCCGCCGGUAGAACACGAUGCAGCCGCNNNNNNNNNNNNNNNNNNNNNNNNNNNNNNNNNNNNNNNNNNNNNNNNNNNNNNNNNNNNNNNNNNNNNNNNNNNNNNNNNNNNNNNNNNNNNNNNNNNGGCAGACCCGCCGGUAGAACACGAUGCAGCCGCUGGAAACAGCAAAUUCCAGAUUCUAUGACUUUGAUGUAAAGAUCUGUUCUAAGCACUGUUUGUGCAACAAGUAUUAGAGAUAUUCAUGUGCCUGUCAUGAAUGGGGCUAAAAAUUCCAAGGGUACGUCUUCUGAAUAUUUUCCACGUCGCAGUCUGUAACACCGUUUACCAAACAACAACAGACUGGAACCCUAGUCCAAAGAUUUGGUUUGUGACUAUGAGAAAUUUUAAAGCACUUUGAAAAGUCACCAAUUGCUUUCUUAAAUGCUUCAUUACACACUUCUAGGGUAACUGGCCUUAGCCUACUCAUGGGUUUCAAAUCACCAAUGCCUUUUUUGGUUCAGAUACACUUUGCAUACCUGCCCACUCUGCAUUUCAGAACUGCUAUGAAAACGUAAGAGGAAACUUGAAGGUCUUAUUUCUUUUGAAUCGAUGUGCUGACACUGCUGGUAUGGGAGGCAACUCCCCAAGACAAGUCUUCUGUGAAGGAAGCUCAAGAAAAAGUGUUCUGAUGACAAAGACCUUUCCUCCCACCCACAGAGAUGAACAGAGGUGAAACUCAGGUUGUUAGGUGACAGGGUGCAUUCCAGGCACUACUCAGUUAACGGGCUCUGUGCAUCCAGCCCUCCCCACCCUUUUGCUCUCUUUGCUUCUCCUCAAUUCCAGUGCUCAGAAGAAGGAGAGAAGUGUAGCCACGAUUCCUGAUUCAGAAAGGAGGAGAGGGGCUUCCUUGGAAGUCCAGAGGCAAAGACUCUGAACUCCCAGUGCAGGGGGGCACAGGUUCAAUCCCUGGCCGGGGAACUAGAUCCCACAUACCACAACAAGAAGAUUCCACAUGCCGCAACAAAGAUUGAAGACCCCAAGGGCAGCAACUAAGACCUGGCACAGCCAGAUGAAUGAACGAAUGAAGAAAUAAACGGGAGAGGGGACAGCUACUGCUUUCCCAGCCUCAUGGCCACAGCUGAUGUCAUCUCUUCUUCCUCCUCCUCACAGCACUGCCAUCACUGAGCAGUAAACACAGUAUACAAACUAGCAAACCACAAUCCCACGAUUAAAAAGGAGGCAGGAGACCUGCGCCAGACACAGCUAAGUGAGUGAACAUCAGAGUUCUUGCAACAUCCUAGAAAAAUAAAGGUUACUGCCUUUACUGCUCCUUGGGUUUUACUUCCAUAAAGCCAUGUGCAUUUUCUUCUUACAACUAACUAACUGACAGCACCAGGGAUGCUAGGUUAUCAAGCAUAAUACCCAAUACUGUUCAGAAUGAACUGUUUCGUAAGAAUAGCUAAUACAUUUAUUUUGGCUUAUGUGCAGGGCUGGCUGUAGAACUUGGGGAAGUCAGGUAACUUCUAUGCUACCCACGAAAGGUGUUAAUUUUCCCAUUUUAUUGUCCAAACUUCUCUGGAAACUUUUCCUAUUUGAAAUGUUGAUAGUCAAUUUGAGAUGUCAAAAUAAAGAAGUGGAUGUCACAAAUCUACCAUAAAUUGUUGAGUCCUUUAUUGCUAAAUUAAUGUUCCAUCCUAGAAUUCUCCUUACUAUUAAAAUCCUUCUGAGUGUGUGAUGAAGUCCCUUAUCACCUAACACAGCUGGAGAUUACAAGACAAGGGGUCCUUCCUUCCCCACUAUAUGCUGGGGCCCCAGCCCACCCCAUCCUCCACCAUAAUGCACAGAUUUGCACACCUCUUCAAGAAGUGAAACAGAAGGCCAUUUGGCCACGACCUGGAAUUUGCUUACAAUUACUGCCCAAGAGAGACUGUCUCUCCAUUUUCAUUGAAAAUACCAAUAAUAGAGACGUCCCUGGCCAUCCAGUGGUUAAGAUCCUGUGCUUCCAAUGCAGGGAGCAUGAGUUUAAUCCCUGGCCAGCGAACUAAGAUGCCUCAUGCUACACAGCAAGGCCAAAAAAAAGAAUGCA